CGGGUGAGUAACACGUAUCCAACCUGCCGUCUACUCUUGGACAGCCUUCUGAAAGGAAGAUUAAUACAAGAUGGCAUCAUGAGUCCGCAUGUUCACAUGAUUAAAGAUAUUCCGGUAGACGAUGGGGAUGCGUUCCAUUAGAUAGUAGGCGGGGUAACGGCCCACCUAGUCUUCGAUGGAUAGGGGUUCUGAGAGGAAGGUCCCCCACAUUGGAACUGAGACACGGUCCAA
RNAcentral lists this ribosomal RNA (231 nucleotides) under uncultured bacterium. Its description in RNAcentral is "partial 16S ribosomal RNA". It matches the Rfam family "Bacterial small subunit ribosomal RNA", at positions 103 to 334 of the family's 1533-position model. The record is from RNAcentral.